Non-coding RNA from Pelobates cultripes (western spadefoot toad), 231 nucleotides. The record is from the annotation of a GenBank genome assembly. NCBI's taxonomy places the organism in Eukaryota, Metazoa, Chordata, Amphibia, Anura, Pelobatidae.
CUUGUUUUACAUAUUGUACAGCACUGCAGAAUAAGUUGGCGCUAUAUAAAUAAAUGUGAUAGUAAAGGUGAUUUUCAAUGUUAACUGUGGAAAUAGUCUAAACAAGUGAGUCAAAAGACAAGACUUUAUUAACUUUGGAACAGACAAAUGAGUUUAAAAUUGAAUUAAUUCUUCCUCUAAGCAAAGUGCAUGUGUCAUGUAUAAGAAUAAUGUACAGACAUAAAAAUUGAA